Molecule: long non-coding RNA, 247 nt
Filed under: Brassica rapa (field mustard)
Lineage: Eukaryota; Viridiplantae; Streptophyta; Magnoliopsida; Brassicales; Brassicaceae
Description: long non-coding RNA (BRAP_LNC008254)
Source: RNAcentral
GUUAUCUUUAAGGAUAGUUUCAUAGCAGGAGGCUGGACUAUCUGGAUAACGGUUUGAUUUAUUUGUUUAGUAUUGAUAUUAUUGUUUAGUUACUAGUACUAAGGGUCUUAGGCCAUAUAGGCCGGACUACUGGUACUAUAGUUAGUCUUGUGGAGUCGAGUGUCUAGUUAGGAUCUGGAACUUUAUCUUUAGGUUAGGUUCUAGAUUGAGUUUGUGUUGUAGCCGACAGUAUGAGCGUAACCCGUCC